AUGCUUCAUCCACGACAACAGGGACAGCGUUUACCCAAAGUACAUUGGGUCAACCAGUAGACAAUGAUAUUGACUGGGAAUUCAUCGUCAUCAUUACCGGUGCUUGUUUGGUGUCGAUACUUCUCUCAGCUAUCGUCAUUCUAAUAAUAGUACAGCGGUACACUAAGCCAUCAAGUGAAGGGUCGUUUCGAGAUAUCGAAGAUCGUCUAAGACACUCACCAGGCAAUAACUUAGAUGAAACAGAUCUACAUGAUGUGCACCUUCCCUGGCACAAAAAUCCUCCGAGUUUGUAUGUUUACCAGUCUGCUAUUCUAAACGAAAUGACAGAAUCGGAAGUCUAGACUAUCAAUCAGGCCAUUGAUGACGAAUCCAAUCCGAAACCGUCCGAAGAAAAGUCCGAAGAUAACAUGACU
RNAcentral lists this long non-coding RNA (413 nucleotides) under Strongylocentrotus purpuratus (purple sea urchin). RNAcentral's name for it is "uncharacterized LOC115924794". The record is from RNAcentral. Lineage: Eukaryota; Metazoa; Echinodermata; Echinoidea; Camarodonta; Strongylocentrotidae.